Molecule: ribosomal RNA, 525 nt
Filed under: Triticum aestivum (bread wheat)
Lineage: Eukaryota; Viridiplantae; Streptophyta; Magnoliopsida; Poales; Poaceae
Description: partial small subunit ribosomal RNA
Source: RNAcentral
AUGGACAUCAACAGAGCUCCGGGGCCUGAUAAUAUUCUUGCUGAAUUUUAUCAGUGCUGCUGGGAGAUAGUCAAACGUGAUAUUAUGAGGCUUUUUGACAGCUUCCACAAAGGCACACUAGAUGUGCAACGCCUUAACUAUGGCAUCAUUACCUUACUAGCUAAAGUCUCGGGGGCUGAUCGUAUACAGCAAUUCCGACCUAUCUGUCUUCUUCGUUGCCCCUACAAGUUGAUCACCAAGGUCAUGGAUAGGAGAGUUUCUAGGUACGCUGACAUUCUUAUUAGCCCCACUCAGAAUGCCUUUGUAAAAGGUAGAAGCAUUAUGGAUGGGGUGCUGGCCCUCCAUGAACUUCUCAACUACAUCCAUGUCAAAAAGAGGGUCGGGGUGAUCCUCAAGCUUGAUUUUGAGAAAGCGUACGACAAGGUCAAUUGGGACUUCCUACCUGAGUGUCAUAAGAUGCGAGGCUUUGAUCCCAAAUGGUGUAGUUGGGUUGAGCAAAUUCUGCGCAAUGGCACAGUCAGCAUC